RNAcentral lists this transfer RNA (72 nucleotides) under Camelus bactrianus (Bactrian camel). It matches the Rfam family "tRNA". Rfam says of the family: Transfer RNA (tRNA) molecules are approximately 80 nucleotides in length. Their secondary structure includes four short double-helical elements and three loops (D, anti-codon, and T loops). The record is from Rfam by way of RNAcentral. Lineage: Eukaryota; Metazoa; Chordata; Mammalia; Artiodactyla; Camelidae. RNAcentral also lists the same sequence under 2 other names.
GGGGGUAUAGCUUAGUGGUAAAGUGCCUGCCUAGCAAGCAUGAGGUCCUGGGUUCAAUCCCCAGUACUACCA